UACGUAGGGCGCAAGCGUUGUCCGGAAUUAUUGGGCGUAAAGAGCUCGUAGGCGGCUUGUCACGUCGGGUGUGAAAGCCCGGGGCUUAACCCCGGGUCUGCAUUCGAUACGGGCUAGCUAGAGUGUGGUAGGGGAGAUCGGAAUUCCUGGUGUAGCGGUGAAAUGCGCAGAUAUCAGGAGGAACACCGGUGGCGAAGGCGGAUCUCUGGGCCAUUACUGACGCCGAGGAGCGAAAGCAUGGGGAGCGAACGGG
RNAcentral lists this ribosomal RNA (253 nucleotides) under uncultured bacterium. RNAcentral's name for it is "partial 16S ribosomal RNA". It matches the Rfam family "Bacterial small subunit ribosomal RNA", at positions 524 to 776 of the family's 1533-position model. The record is from RNAcentral.